ACCGUCACACUCAGUCGCUGCAGCCAGGCAGCCAGGCGGAGAGGGAGCUCCGCUUUCUGCAAACUACACACACAAACCUGGGGAUGCAGCUCCAUCCAAGAGGACACUACUCACUGGAGCUGAAAGGAAGACAGCCAGGGACAAUAGCAACAGCUGCCGACUGCUCCUGACUGAACAUCGAGAACGAUUUUUACCCAGAAUCUUUGGACCUUUGUGUAUGCAUUUACUACCAUCCCAGAUGUGACAACACUCGUAGGAUUAUUGGAAUCCACCAGGAUGGCUGGAUCUGUGGAUUUAUUUUCAAGAUAAUGGAUUAUUUUGACCUCUUUCUUUUCUUUCCUCGCUGUCCCACACACACACACUUGGAUGCUCCCCUGCACGGUUGGGAACACUGAUGCGAUAUUGAGUUAAGAUGAUGGGAAUCACAGAUUCAAAGCACUUGCAGCUCACAAGGGACUAUUGGCUCUGCUGAUGGAAAAUUAUUGCGGGACUUUGCUCGGAUUGUUGGGAGUUGGACCGUUUUCAUUUGGAGGUGUUUUGGGGUGUAUUCUUGUAUCAGGAACAUGGAAAUAUCAUGGUCAGGAUCAUAUAGCGUGGAGAUGUGCAUUGUGGUUUCUAUCUGGUAUUAUGCGGAUGGCUGUUAGGAAAUUAUUACCUCUUUUCCCCCUCCCCCCAAAAAAACCUGGAAUAUGUUGCACGCUUUUGGAAUGCCCUUGCCAUAUGGAUUAACGUCGCCAUUGAGUGGGAUAGAUGGAACUCCGAGGAUAUUAUAUCCAGAUGAUGUAUUGAAGACCCUGGGAUGUAUUAGAGGAGACGAUGUGGAUUUAAUUCUCAGUAGGAUAAUGUGGAUUGUUACUACGUUUUGCUUUGGUGUUGUUUAAAAGGUAUAUUUCUGCAUGACCUCAAAUAAAGUGACCGAACACACCAGAUGAUAUAGCUAUUCCAUGUACCACCACCCAAUACCUGAUGAUCAAUAGACUGCUUAUUCCUAACCUCAGUAUUGGAGCUACAAGCUGUCAAAUGUGACAUCGUGAGCAACGUCCGCUCAGCACGGAAGGCUGAAACUCCAUAUUCUCUGAGAAAUCUAAACAAGACACCAAGACAAUGUCAAAAAUCAGUGCAUCAUUUCAACAACUCUUCAUUUUGGCCUGCAUCUGCACAGUUCCACCAAUGUUGGAGCUUAAUUUGGCAUUGGACACCAUUUCUGAUAUAAUUCCGAAAGUAAUCUGCAAGUAAGGAAGAUUGCUGAAAAAGUGGGGGAAAAUACCACAUGGACAAAAUAAUUUUUAUGUCAUUAGAUCUCAGUGAGGGACCUCUUGAAUGGAUUUCUACAGUUCAAAAUUUGACAGUUGUUUUGUGUAACUUGUCUAAUGCUGAGGUUGCCAGAUUAAACCUUCUGUAUGAAUAUUAUUCAAAUGUGUCUGAAGAAUUUUUGUCAAAUAAAUAGGUAAUAUUUAUAAGUAUGCUAAGGGCAUUGUGUUGUAAAUUCUUAAUGGUUGUGGAAUCUCCAAUUUGGACUUGAUAUUAGAUUAGAUUAGAUUAGACUUACAGUGUGGAAACAGGCCCUUCGGCCCAACAAGUCCACACCGACCCGCCGAAGCGCAACCCACCCAUACAUUUACCCCUUACCUAACACUACGGGCAAUUUAGCUUGGCCAAUUCACCUGACCCGCACAUCUUUGGACUGUGGGAGGAAACCGGAGCACCCGGAGGAAACCCACGCAGACACGGGGAGAACGUGCAAACUCCACACAGUCAGUCGCCUGAGUCGGGAAUUGAACCCGGGUCUACAGGCGCUGUGAGGCAGCAGUGCUAACCACUGUGCCAUAUCUUUGAGAUUUUUUAUUGUCCUUUUUAAUGUAGUGAAUAAUAGGAUUUAGUGAGCAUUUUAAAAGUUUUGCUCUAUAAAUAAAAUGAAUUAACUGGCUUUGUAUACUUGUGUUUUCUUAUAAAACAAAUUUUUAUCUUGUAGUAGUUGUGUUCAAUUUUAUCUAUUUAUUAAGAGUGUGCGUCCAAAUAAUUAUGAUUACACAGUAGAUUGUCUUCCCUUUUAAAUCACUAUCUAUUUGAAAUGCUUGAACCCUUUAAUUUAGACAGGUUUUAAAAUGACCUAUCAUAAAGGACUUCUGUAACUGCUAAAGAAAGCUACGUCUUUUAUCGACAUUCACAUCUCCACUAAUGUUAAAUCAAAUUGCCUUGGAGCACUUUAGACAAAGUUACUUUGUGAUGUGCAAUAACAGCUGUUACAUCAUAGAAAAAAAAUUGAUAACCCGUGAAAGAUUCCUUCAAAUAUGUGAAUUUAUUUCAAUAGAAUUCUUGGUUCAGGAUGUACAGUAUCUGUCUAUAAUUUCUUCUGCAUUAUCUAUAUGUUAUCCUACAAAAGGAAAUUAGUGUUAGACAGCAAUUUAUUAAAGGUUUUAAACACACUAAAAAUCAAAAGCUGAAUUCAGCAAUAUAAAACCUAACUCAGUUCUAUGACUUGCUGCCAAUACAUUUCAUUCAAAAUGGAGGCUGGGGGCUAUAUGUGAUUUCAUACAGAUAUUGACAGAUAAAAAUUUAUUACCCUCUCAAUUCGUAUGUUCUUCCUUUUCAGCUAUGCCCUAACAUGACCAACCAAGUAAUAUACAUAACCAAGUUUUAGUCACUAAAGCGAACUGACUUGUUGCAAAAUAAAAGAACUACUGACAAUCAUUGCAACCUUAAAAUAGUUGUUUCUGUUUGUUUUGAGUGACUACAGAAGCAAUGUUUCAUCAUGUAUUUAAAACAUGUGAAGUAAUUUGCUGUGAACCUUUCAUUUUUAUUUUGU
Hemiscyllium ocellatum (epaulette shark) is the source of this 2806-nucleotide long non-coding RNA. RefSeq lists it as uncharacterized. The record is from RefSeq and is a predicted model, not a curated record. The transcript has 3 exons. Lineage: Eukaryota; Metazoa; Chordata; Chondrichthyes; Orectolobiformes; Hemiscylliidae.